Molecule: ribosomal RNA, 492 nt
Filed under: uncultured bacterium
Lineage: Bacteria
Description: partial 16S ribosomal RNA
Rfam family: Bacterial small subunit ribosomal RNA
Source: RNAcentral
AGUGAACGCUGGCGGUAGGCCUAACACAUGCAAGUCGAACGGCAGCACAGUAAGAGCUUGCUCUUACGGGUGGCGAGUGGCGGACGGGUGAGGAAUACAUCGGAAUCUACUUUUUCGUGGGGGAUAACGUAGGGAAACUUACGCUAAUACCGCAUACGACCUACGGGUGAAAGCAGGGGAUCUUCGGACCUUGCGCGAUUGAAUGAGCCGAUGUCGGAUUAGCUAGUUGGCGGGGUAAAGGCCUACCAAGGCGACGAUCCGUAGCUGGUCUGAGAGGAUGAUCAGCCACACUGGAACUGAGACACGGUCCAGACUCCUACGGGAGGCAGCAGUGGGGAAUAUUGGACAAUGGGCGCAAGCCUGAUCCAGCCAUACCGCGUGGGUGAAGAAGGCCUUCGGGUUGUAAAGCCCUUUUGUUGGGAAAGAAAAGCAGCAGGUUAAUACCCCGCUGUUCUGACGGUACCCAAAGAAUAAGCACCGGCUAACUUCGUG